Molecule: transfer RNA, 77 nt
Filed under: Pseudomonas sp. Ost2
Lineage: Bacteria; Pseudomonadati; Pseudomonadota; Gammaproteobacteria; Pseudomonadales; Pseudomonadaceae
Description: tRNA-Gln
Source: RNAcentral
CGGCGAACAAGGGUUGGGCCGGGUCCAUCGGAUUGUUCUGGGUAAUCCACUUGCGGGUCGCCGCCACAUUCGCCGGC